AUGGCUCAGGAUGAACGCUGGCGGCGUGCUUAACACAUGCAAGUCGAACGAAGCUCUGACGCGGAAAUCUCGGAUGGAAGCAGAGGAAGACUGAGUGGCGGACGGGUGAGUAACGCGUGGGUAACCUACCCUGUACAGGGGGACAACGGCUGGAAACGGCCGCUAAUACCGCAUAAGCGCACGGGACCGCAUGGUCAAGUGUGAAAAGCUCCGGCGGUACAGGAUGGACCCGCGUCUGAUUAGCUAGUUGGCGGGGCAGCGGCCCACCAAGGCGACGAUCAGUAGCCGGCCUGAGAGGGCGACCGGCCACAUUGGGACUGAGACACGGCCCAAACUCCUACGGGAGGCAGCAGUGGGGAAUAUUGCACAAUGGGCGCAAGCCUGAUGCAGCGACGCCGCGUGGACGAGGAAGUAUUUCGGUACGUAAAGUCCUAUCAGCAGGGAAGAAGAAAGACGGUACCUGACUAAGAAGCUCCGGCUAAAUACGUGCCAGCAGCAGC
Molecule: ribosomal RNA, 500 nt
Filed under: uncultured bacterium
Lineage: Bacteria
Description: bacterial SSU rRNA
Rfam family: Bacterial small subunit ribosomal RNA
Source: RNAcentral